GGUUAAGCGACUAAGCGUACACGGUGGAUGCCCGGCAGUCAGAGGCGAUGAAGGACGUGCUAAUCUGCGAUAAGCGUCGGUAAGGUGAUAUGAACCGUUAUAACCGGCGAUUUCCGAAUGGGGAAACCCAGUGUGUUUCGACACACUAUCAUUAACUGAAUCCAUAGGUUAAUGAGGCGAACCGGGGGAACUGAAACAUCUAAGUACCCCGAGGAAAAGAAAUCAACCGAGAUUCCCCCAGUAGCGGCGAGCGAACGGGGAGCAGCCCAGAGCCUGAAUCAGUGUGUGUGUUAGUGGAAGCGUCUGGAAAGGCGCGCGAUACAGGGUGACAGCCCCGUACACAAAAAUGCACAUGCUGUGAGCUCGAUGAGUAGGGCGGGACACGUGGUAUCCUGUCUGAAUAUGGGGGGACCAUCCUCCAAGGCUAAAUACUCCUGACUGACCGAUAGUGAACCAGUACCGUGAGGGAAAGGCGAAAAGAACCCCGGCGAGGGGAGUGAAAAAGAACCUGAAACCGUGUACGUACAAGCAGUGGGAGCACGCUUAGGCGUGUGACUGCGUACCUUUUGUAUAAUGGGUCAGCGACUUAUAUUCUGUAGCAAGGUUAACCGAAUAGGGGAGCCGAAGGGAAACCGAGUCUUAACUGGGCGUUAAGUUGCAGGGUAUAGACCCGAAACCCGGUGAUCUAGCCAUGGGCAGGUUGAAGGUUGGGUAACACUAACUGGAGGACCGAACCGACUAAUGUUGAAAAAUUAGCGGAUGACUUGUGGCUGGGGGUGAAAGGCCAAUCAAACCGGGAGAUAGCUGGUUCUCCCCGAAAGCUAUUUAGGUAGCGCCUCGUGAAUUCAUCUCCGGGGUAGAGCACUGUUUCGGCAAGGGGGUCAUCCCGACUUACCAACCCGAUGCAAACUGCGAAUACCGGAGAAUGUUAUCACGGGAGACACACGGCGGGUGCUAACGUCCGUCGUGAAGAGGGAAACAACCCAGACCGCCAGCUAAGGUCCCAAAGUCAUGGUUAAGUGGGAAACGAUGUGGGAAGGCCCAGACAGCCAGGAUGUUGGCUUAGAAGCAGCCAUCAUUUAAAGAAAGCGUAAUAGCUCACUGGUCGAGUCGGCCUGCGCGGAAGAUGUAACGGGGCUAAACCAUGCACCGAAGCUGCGGCAGCGACGCUUAUGCGUUGUUGGGUAGGGGAGCGUUCUGUAAGCCUGCGAAGGUGUGCUGUGAGGCAUGCUGGAGGUAUCAGAAGUGCGAAUGCUGACAUAAGUAACGAUAAAGCGGGUGAAAAGCCCGCUCGCCGGAAGACCAAGGGUUCCUGUCCAACGUUAAUCGGGGCAGGGUGAGUCGACCCCUAAGGCGAGGCCGAAAGGCGUAGUCGAUGGGAAACAGGUUAAUAUUCCUGUACUUGGUGUUACUGCGAAGGGGGGGACGGAGAAGGCUAUGUUGGCCGGGCGACGGUUGUCCCGGUUUAAGCGUGUAGGCUGGUUUUCCAGGCAAAUCCGGAAAAUCAAGGCUGAGGCGUGAUGACGAGGCACUACGGUGCUGAAGCAACAAAUGCCCUGCUUCCAGGAAAAGCCUCUAAGCAUCAGGUAACAUCAAAUCGUACCCCAAACCGACACAGGUGGUCAGGUAGAGAAUACCAAGGCGCUUGAGAGAACUCGGGUGAAGGAACUAGGCAAAAUGGUGCCGUAACUUCGGGAGAAGGCACGCUGAUAUGUAGGUGAGGUCCCUCGCGGAUGGAGCUGAAAUCAGUCGAAGAUACCAGCUGGCUGCAACUGUUUAUUAAAAACACAGCACUGUGCAAACACGAAAGUGGACGUAUACGGUGUGACGCCUGCCCGGUGCCGGAAGGUUAAUUGAUGGGGUUAGCGCAAGCGAAGCUCUUGAUCGAAGCCCGGUAAACGGCGGCCGUAACUAUAACGGUCCUAAGGUAGCGAAAUUCCUUGUCGGGUAAGUUCCGACCUGCACGAAUGGCGUAAUGAUGGCCAGGCUGUCUCCACCCGAGACUCAGUGAAAUUGAACUCGCUGUGAAGAUGCAGUGUACCCGCGGCAAGACGGAAAGACCCCGUGAACCUUUACUAUAGCUUGACACUGAACAUUGAGCCUUGAUGUGUAGGAUAGGUGGGAGGCUUUGAAGUGUGGACGCCAGUCUGCAUGGAGCCGACCUUGAAAUACCACCCUUUAAUGUUUGAUGUUCUAACGUUGACCCGUAAUCCGGGUUGCGGACAGUGUCUGGUGGGUAGUUUGACUGGGGCGGUCUCCUCCUAAAGAGUAACGGAGGAGCACGAAGGUUGGCUAAUCUGGUCGGACAUCAGGAGGUUAGUGCAAUGGCAUAAGCCAGCUUGACUGCGAGCGUGACGGCGCGAGCAGGUGCGAAAGCAGGUCAUAGUGAUCCGGUGGUUCUGAAUGGAAGGGCCAUCGCUCAACGGAUAAAAGGUACUCCGGGGAUAACAGGCUGAUACCGCCCAAGAGUUCAUAUCGACGGCGGUGUUUGGCACCUCGAUGUCGGCUCAUCACAUCCUGGGGCUGAAGUAGGUCCCAAGGGUAUGGCUGUUCGCCAUUUAAAGUGGUACGCGAGCUGGGUUUAGAACGUCGUGAGACAGUUCGGUCCCUAUCUGCCGUGGGCGCUGGAGAACUGAGGGGGGCUGCUCCUAGUACGAGAGGACCGGAGUGGACGCAUCACUGGUGUUCGGGUUGUCAUGCCAAUGGCACUGCCCGGUAGCUAAAUGCGGAAGAGAUAAGUGCUGAAAGCAUCUAAGCACGAAACUUGCCCCGAGAUGAGUUCUCCCUGACCCUUUAAGGGUCCUGAAGGAACGUUGAAGACGACGACGUUGAUAGGCCGGGUGUGUAAGCGCAGCGAUGCGUUGAGCUAACCGGUACUAAUGAACCGUGAGGCUUAACCUU
This 2901-nucleotide ribosomal RNA is filed under the name Escherichia coli. RNAcentral's name for it is "23S ribosomal RNA". It matches the Rfam family "Bacterial large subunit ribosomal RNA". The record is from RNAcentral. Lineage: Bacteria; Pseudomonadati; Pseudomonadota; Gammaproteobacteria; Enterobacterales; Enterobacteriaceae.